Molecule: ribosomal RNA, 429 nt
Filed under: bacterium
Lineage: Bacteria
Description: partial 16S ribosomal RNA
Rfam family: Bacterial small subunit ribosomal RNA
Source: RNAcentral
UAGGGAAUCUUCGGCAAUGGGGGCAACCCUGACCGAGCAACGCCGCGUGAGUGAAGAAGGUUUUCGGAUCGUAAAGCUCUGUUGUAAGAGAAGAACGUGUGUGAGAGUGGAAAGUUCACACAGUGACGGUAACUUACCAGAAAGGGACGGCUAACUACGUGCCAGCAGCCGCGGUAAUACGUAGGUCCCGAGCGUUGUCCGGAUUUAUUGGGCGUAAAGCGAGCGCAGGCGGUUUAAUAAGUCUGAAGUUAAAGGCAGUGGCUUAACCAUUGUUCGCUUUGGAAACUGUUCAACUUGAGUGCAGAAGGGGAGAGUGGAAUUCCAUGUGUAGCGGUGAAAUGCGUAGAUAUAUGGAGGAACACCGGUGGCGAAAGCGGCUCUCUGGUCUGUAACUGACGCUGAGGCUCGAAAGCGUGGGGAGCAAACAGG